Molecule: ribosomal RNA, 484 nt
Filed under: uncultured bacterium
Lineage: Bacteria
Description: partial 16S ribosomal RNA
Rfam family: Bacterial small subunit ribosomal RNA
Source: RNAcentral
AUUGAACGCUGGCGGCAGGCCUAACACAUGCAAGUCGAGCGGUAGAACAGAGCGUUCGCCUUGGUUCGACGGCGGGCGGAUGGGUGAGUCCUAUGAGUCUACCUGCUCGUGGGGGAUGGAUUCCUAAAGCAAGCGCUAGUACCUCCUGCGUAAUGAGGCAGGAAGAGAGGGGUCUUCGGACGUCCCGCUAUCAAUUGAACCUAGGUAGGAUUAGCUAGUUGGUGGGGUAAGGGCUCACCAAGGCGACGAUCCGUAGCUGGUCUGAGAGGAUGAUCAGUCACACUGGAACUGAGACACGGUCCAGACUCCUACGGGAGGCAGCAGUGGGGAAUAUUGGACAAUGGGCGAAAGCCUGAUGCAGCCAUGCCGCGUGUGUGAAGAAGGUCUUCGGAUUGUAAAGCACUUUCAGUGGGGAGGAAGGGGAUUCAGUUAAUAACCGUCUUGUUUGACGUUACCCGCAGAAGAAGCACCGGCUAACUCCGUG